UACGGAGGAUGCAAGCGUUAUCCGGAAUGAUUGGGCGUAAAGCGUCCGCAGGUGGCUAUGUAAGUCUGCUGUCAAAGAGCGAAGCUCAACUUCGUAAAGGCAGUGGAAACUACAAGGCUAGAGUGCGUUCGGGGCAGAGGGAAUUCCUGGUGUAGCGGUGAAAUGCGUAGAGAUCAGGAAGAACACCGGUGGCGAAGGCGCUCUGCUAGGCCGCAACUGACACUGAGGGACGAAAGCUAGGGGAGCGAAUGGG
This 253-nucleotide ribosomal RNA is filed under the name uncultured bacterium. RNAcentral's name for it is "partial 16S ribosomal RNA". It matches the Rfam family "Bacterial small subunit ribosomal RNA", at positions 524 to 776 of the family's 1533-position model. The record is from RNAcentral.